RNAcentral lists this ribosomal RNA (273 nucleotides) under uncultured bacterium. RNAcentral's name for it is "partial 16S ribosomal RNA". It matches the Rfam family "Bacterial small subunit ribosomal RNA", at positions 524 to 796 of the family's 1533-position model. The record is from RNAcentral.
UACGAAGGGUGCAAGCGUUAAUCGGAAUUACUGGGCGUAAAGCGCGCGUAGGUGGUUCAGCAAGUUGGAUGUGAAAUCCCCGGGCUCAACCUGGGAACUGCAUUCGAAACUGGCAGGCUAGAGUCUUGUAGAGGGGGGUAGAAUUCCAGGUGUAGCGGUGAAAUGCGUAGAUAUAGGAAGGAACACCAGUGGCGAAGGCGACCACCUGGACUGAUACUGACACUGAGGUGCGAAAGCGUGGGGAGCAAACAGGAUUAGAUACCCCCGUAGUCC